RNAcentral lists this ribosomal RNA (229 nucleotides) under uncultured bacterium. RNAcentral describes it as "partial 16S ribosomal RNA". It matches the Rfam family "Bacterial small subunit ribosomal RNA", at positions 118 to 347 of the family's 1533-position model. The record is from RNAcentral.
UGGGCAACCUGCCCCAGACACAGGGAUAACCCCGGGAAACCGGGGCUAAUACCGGAUACUCCGGUCGAACCGCAUGGCUCGAUCGGGAAAGCUCCGACGGUCUGGGAUGGGCCCGCGGCCUAUCAGCUUGUUGGUGAGGUAAUGGCUCACCAAGGCGACGACGGGUAGCCGGCCUGAGAGGGUGACCGGCCACACUGGGACUGAGACACGGCCCAGACUCCUACGGGAG